GACGAACGCUGGCGGCGGGCUUAACACAUGCAAGUCGAACGGAAAGGCCCAUUUUGGGGUUCUCGAGAGGCGCACGGGGGUGUAACACGCGAGUAACCUGCCCUGGUCUUGGGGGUAACCUCCGGAAAAUGGGGCUAAUACCGGCAAGGAAUCCUUGCUGCAUGGUGGGGGUUGGUAAGCUUCGGCGGUUUUGGAUGGACCUAGGGCGGAUUAGCUAGUUGGUGGGGUAGAGGCCUACCAAGGCGUCGACGGGUAGCCGGUCUGAGAGGAUGACCGGGCACACUGGAACUGAGACACGGUACAGAGUCCUACGGGAGGCAGAAGUGGGGAAUAGUGGACGAUGGGCGAAAGCCUGAUCCAGGCAUGCCGCGUGUGUGAAGAAGGUCUUCGGAUUGUAAAGCAGUUUAAGUUGGGAGGAAGGGCAGUAAGUGAAUACCUUGCUGUGUUGACGUUACCAACAGAAUAAGCACCGGCUAACUUCGUG
This 484-nucleotide ribosomal RNA is filed under the name uncultured bacterium. RNAcentral describes it as "partial 16S ribosomal RNA". It matches the Rfam family "Bacterial small subunit ribosomal RNA", at positions 28 to 507 of the family's 1533-position model. The record is from RNAcentral.